Diospyros lotus (date-plum) is the source of this 593-nucleotide long non-coding RNA. RefSeq lists it as uncharacterized. The transcript has 2 exons. Lineage: Eukaryota; Viridiplantae; Streptophyta; Magnoliopsida; Ericales; Ebenaceae. The record is from RefSeq and is a predicted model, not a curated record.
GAACGUUACGAAGUGGUAUUCAAUGUUACCUGAAGGGAGCUACAAGUAAUUUAACAGGCGGGAGAGAGAAAGAGAGAGUGAGAGAGUUGCCGACCAGUCCAUCCAACCAUCUUCCUAUAAAUCUCUCCAGCUGGCCUGUCUAAGUUAUAUCUUCUGCCCUAGUUAUCUCUUUCUCCCGACUGCUAGCUAGGGUUUCACAUCUGGUUGAUGUGCCCUUCUAUGGGUGAGAAUGGUAGUUGAAAUUACCCUCAUCCCGUUGUCGUUCUCGUUAAAAUUCUAGGGUAUUGCCUUCUGCUUUUCCUCUCGCAAGUCUAGCUUGUGUAGUUCAGGUAAUGGAUCCAAUGGUGUGAAGGGACUGCCGGUUUGCUAUGGCACUAUGGCUCCAUCUUGGGUUGACCGCCCUUGCGCGGCCCCCUCGCGUCCUCGAUAACGCUACCGGGCUAGUGGGGAUUUAUGUAUUUUGGCUUGUAAAUUCAUUUAGUCGGUCUUAAGUUCUUCCACAAGUUAUGUAUAUUUGUAUUAUUACAUGUAGGGUUUUGUAACCCACUCGAUACGGUUUAUCAAGUGAAUUCACAGUUGACUUGUUCAAUUUA